UACGGAGGGUGCGAGCGUUGUCCGGAAUCACUGGGCGUAAAGGGCGCGUAGGCGGGCUGAUAAGUAGGGGGUGAAAUCCUGCGGCUUAACCGCAGGGCUGCCUUCUAAACUGUCAGGCUAGAGCACAGUAGAGGCAGGUGGAAUUCCCGGUGUAGCGGUGGAAUGCGUAGAGAUCCGGAGGAACCCCAGAGGCGAAGGCGGCGUCCUGGCUCGCAUCUGACGCUCAGACACGACAGCAUGGGGAGCGAACGGG
This 253-nucleotide ribosomal RNA is filed under the name uncultured bacterium. RNAcentral's name for it is "partial 16S ribosomal RNA". It matches the Rfam family "Bacterial small subunit ribosomal RNA", at positions 524 to 776 of the family's 1533-position model. The record is from RNAcentral.